RNAcentral lists this ribosomal RNA (484 nucleotides) under uncultured bacterium. RNAcentral's name for it is "partial 16S ribosomal RNA". It matches the Rfam family "Bacterial small subunit ribosomal RNA", at positions 29 to 507 of the family's 1533-position model. The record is from RNAcentral.
AUUGAACGCUAGCGGGAUGCUUUACACAUGCAAGUCGAACGGCAGCGCGGACUUCGGUCUGGCGGCGAGUGGCGAACGGGUGAGUAAUGUAUCGGAACGUGCCCAGUAGCGGGGGAUAACUACGCGAAAGCGUAGCUAAUACCGCAUACGCCCUACGGGGGAAAGCAGGGGAUCGUAAGACCUUGCACUAUUGGAGCGGCCGAUAUCGGAUUAGCUAGUUGGUGAGGUAACGGCUCACCAAGGCGACGAUCCGUAGCUGGUGUGAGAGGACGACCAGCCACACUGGGACUGAGACACGGCCCAGACUCCUACGGGAGGCAGCAGUGGGGAAUGUUGGACAAUGGGGGCAACCCUGAUCCAGCCAUCCCGCGUGUGCGAUGAAGGCCUUCGGGUUGUAAAGCACUUUUGGCAGGAAAGAAACGUCGCGGGCUAAUACCCCGUGGAACUGACGGUACCUGCAGAAUAAGCACCGGCUAACUACGUG